Non-coding RNA from Aedes aegypti (yellow fever mosquito), 75 nucleotides. Lineage: Eukaryota; Metazoa; Arthropoda; Insecta; Diptera; Culicidae. The record is from Rfam.
CGUUCUGUGGCGUAGUUGGUUAACACGCCCAGUCUAGCGUAUUGGGAGUCGUGGGUUCGAAGCCCACUAGAACGA